Macaca fascicularis (crab-eating macaque) is the source of this 161-nucleotide small nuclear RNA. Its record names the gene U1. It matches the Rfam family "U1 spliceosomal RNA". Rfam says of the family: U1 is a small nuclear RNA (snRNA) component of the spliceosome (involved in pre-mRNA splicing). Its 5' end forms complementary base pairs with the 5' splice junction, thus defining the 5' donor site of an intron. NCBI's taxonomy places the organism in Eukaryota, Metazoa, Chordata, Mammalia, Primates, Cercopithecidae. The record is from Ensembl.
AUACUUACCUGGCAGGGGAGAUACCAUGAUCACGAAGGUGGUUGUCCCAGGGCGAGGUUUAUCCAUUGCACUCCGGAUGUGCUGACCCCUGCAAUUUCCCCAAAUGUGGGAAACUUGACUGCAUAAUUUGUUGUAGUUGGGGACUGCGUUCACGCUAGAAA